UGAGGAAUUUUUGGCAAUGAGCGAAAGCUUGACCAAGCAAUACCGCGUGAAGGAUGAAGGCUUUUGGGUUGUAAACUUCUUUCAUUGAUGAAGAAUUUUGUGACUUAAGUCAAAGAAGAAGCACCGGCUAAUUACGUGCCAGCAGCCGCGGUAAUACGUAAGGUGCAAGCGUUGUACGGAUUUAUUGGGCGUAAAGCGUCUGUAGAUGGUAAUUUAAGUUUAAGGUUAAAUAUCUAUGCUUAACGUAGUAAAAGCUUUGAAAACUGAUUUACUUGAGUAUAAUAGAGGUAGAGGGAAUUUUCAGUGUAGCGGUGAAAUGCGUAGAUAUUGAAAAGAACACCAAUGGCGAAAGCACUCUGCUGGGUUAUUACUGACAUUGAGAGACGAAAGCUGGGGGAGC
Molecule: ribosomal RNA, 400 nt
Filed under: uncultured bacterium
Lineage: Bacteria
Description: bacterial SSU rRNA
Rfam family: Bacterial small subunit ribosomal RNA
Source: RNAcentral